UACAGAGGUCCCAAGCGUUGUUCGGAUUCACUGGGCGUAAAGGGUGCGUAGGUGGUGAGGUAAGUCGGAUGUGAAAGCUCGGAGCUCAACUCCGAAAUGGCAUUGGAAACUACUUUGCUCGAGGGUUGGAGGGGGGACUGGAAUACUUGGUGUAGCAGUGAAAUGCGUAGAUAUCAAGUGGAACACCAGUGGCGAAGGCGAGUCCCUGGACAACUCCUGACACUGAGGCACGAAAGCUAGGGGAGCAAACAGG
This 253-nucleotide ribosomal RNA is filed under the name uncultured bacterium. RNAcentral's name for it is "partial 16S ribosomal RNA". It matches the Rfam family "Bacterial small subunit ribosomal RNA", at positions 524 to 776 of the family's 1533-position model. The record is from RNAcentral.